This 253-nucleotide ribosomal RNA is filed under the name uncultured bacterium. RNAcentral describes it as "partial 16S ribosomal RNA". It matches the Rfam family "Bacterial small subunit ribosomal RNA", at positions 524 to 776 of the family's 1533-position model. The record is from RNAcentral.
UACGUAGGUGGCGAGCGUUGUCCGGAUUUACUGGGCGUAAAGGGAGCGUAGGCGGAUUUUUAAGUGAGAUGUGAAAUACUCGGGCCCAACUUGAGUGCUGCAUUUCAAACUGGAAGUCUAGAGUGCAGGAGAGGAGAAUGGAAUUCCUAGUGUAGCGGUGAAAUGCGUAGAGAUUAGGAAGAACACCAGUGGCGAAGGCGAUUCUCUGGACUGUAACUGACGCUGAGGCUCGAAAGCGUGGGGAGCAAACAGG